Molecule: non-coding RNA, 28 nt
Filed under: Rattus norvegicus (Norway rat)
Lineage: Eukaryota; Metazoa; Chordata; Mammalia; Rodentia; Muridae
Source: RNAcentral
UCCGCUACACAUUGAGACCAACGUACCU